GGCCCUAUAGCUCAGUUGGUAGUAGCGAUUGCCUGUUAAGCAAUGUGUCGUAGGUUCAAGUCCUACUGGGGCCG
RNAcentral lists this transfer RNA (74 nucleotides) under Bacteroidaceae bacterium. RNAcentral's name for it is "tRNA-Asn". It matches the Rfam family "tRNA". From Rfam's summary of the family: Transfer RNA (tRNA) molecules are approximately 80 nucleotides in length. Their secondary structure includes four short double-helical elements and three loops (D, anti-codon, and T loops). Lineage: Bacteria; Pseudomonadati; Bacteroidota; Bacteroidia; Bacteroidales; Bacteroidaceae. The record is from RNAcentral.